RNAcentral lists this transfer RNA (57 nucleotides) under Dipodomys ordii (Ord's kangaroo rat). It matches the Rfam family "tRNA". From Rfam's summary of the family: Transfer RNA (tRNA) molecules are approximately 80 nucleotides in length. Their secondary structure includes four short double-helical elements and three loops (D, anti-codon, and T loops). The record is from Rfam by way of RNAcentral. Lineage: Eukaryota; Metazoa; Chordata; Mammalia; Rodentia; Heteromyidae.
GGAGAUGUAGCUUAAUGGCAGAGCAUUUGCCCUUGGGUUCAAUCCCUAGUAUCUUCA